UGUUAAAAAAAUUAUCCAUUUAUGUUGUUAAAAAUUGGUGUGAUUGAGGGAAUAAUUAAACAGUAAUAUGUGAUGUUUACGUGUCCUCAUGAUGACGUACAAUGACAAAUUUUUAAUGUAGAAAUAGAUAAAAUUUUUAACG
Molecule: non-coding RNA, 142 nt
Organism: Gossypium raimondii (Peruvian cotton)
Lineage: Eukaryota; Viridiplantae; Streptophyta; Magnoliopsida; Malvales; Malvaceae
Source: Rfam